This 825-nucleotide ribosomal RNA is filed under the name Triticum aestivum (bread wheat). Its description in RNAcentral is "partial small subunit ribosomal RNA". Lineage: Eukaryota; Viridiplantae; Streptophyta; Magnoliopsida; Poales; Poaceae. The record is from RNAcentral.
AUGGCGGCACACUGGAACCUCCCGGCUGUGAACAAGAUGGUGCGAACUGGGCCUGAAUGGCUGCUACAGAUCCUCGGCGAAAUCUCGGAGAUGGAGAGGCUGCAACUGCUCAUGACGCUGUGGCGCGUAUGGCAUGUAAGUAACGAGAUUGUUCACGAUAAACGGCCACCAGAAGUAGAGUCCUCGAGACGUUUUCUGCUGAGCUAUGUCAAUUCCUUGGAAGCAGUCCGGCUACACCCCCAUGCUGAUCAUGUUAAAGGCAAAAUGGUGAUUGGUGGGGAGCAUUCUAGAGGCUCGUCAUCAACUGUGGUUCAGCCCAAAGAGCCAGGACUCCGGUGGGCGCUGCCGCCGGCGGGAUGGAUGCCACUGAGCGUUGACGGCUCAUUCUGCGUGCACGAUGAGACGGCAGGUGCCGGUAUGGUCUUACGGGAUGCUGCAGGAGCGAUCAUAUUCUCUUCUUGCAGAGAGCUGCGGUCCUGUACGUCGCCGCUCGAAGCAGAACUUGAAGCAUGCAGGGAGGGGAUCCAGCUUGCGCUCCAAUGGACAACGUUGCCAAUUGUAGUAGAGAUGGACAGCCUGGAGGCCACACAGCUCGUCCAAGACAAGAGCUUAGACAGAUCAGCGAAUUCUAUGCUGAUAGAAGAAAUCAAGACUAGUCUUCAAUCUGGAAGGGAGUUCUUAAUCAAGCACAUUAGACGUGAGCAAAAUAAUGUAAGCCACUACAUGACUAACUUUGGCAGGAGAGAAAGACGUACUGCCGUUUGGCUUAAAUCUGGACCUGGAGAUGUACUGAACAUUUGUAAGGCAGAUGUACCUGCUGCUUGA